Non-coding RNA from Pelobates cultripes (western spadefoot toad), 230 nucleotides. NCBI's taxonomy places the organism in Eukaryota, Metazoa, Chordata, Amphibia, Anura, Pelobatidae. The record is from the annotation of a GenBank genome assembly.
GGGAGGGGGUGACUAGUGACAGAGUGAGGGAGAGUGUGACUAGUGACAGAGAGAGGGAGGGGGUGACUAGUGACAGAGUGAGGGAGGGGGUGACUAGUGACAGUCACCACCUCCUUCGCUCUGUCACUAGUCACCCCCUCCCUCACUCUGUCAUUGUGUCACGCCCUUUCUCACUCUGUCACUAGUCACCCACUCCCUCCCUCACUCUGUCACUAGUCACCCCCUCUCUC